This 267-nucleotide ribosomal RNA is filed under the name uncultured bacterium. Its description in RNAcentral is "partial 16S ribosomal RNA". It matches the Rfam family "Bacterial small subunit ribosomal RNA", at positions 85 to 354 of the family's 1533-position model. The record is from RNAcentral.
UUGCCGGCAACCGGCGCACGGGUGAGUAACACGUAUGCAACCUGCCCGUCUCAGGGGGAUAAUCGUCGGAAACGGCGUCUAAUACCCCGUAUGAAGCUGGACGGCGUCGUCUGGUUUUGAAAGAAUAUCGGAGACGGAUGGGCAUGCGGCGCAUUAGCUAGUUGGCGGGGUAACGGCCCACCAAGGCGACGAUGCGUAGGGGUUCUGAGAGGAAGGUCCCCCACACUGGUACUGAGACACGGACCAGACUCCUACGGGAGGCAGCAG